ACGGGUGAGUAACACGUAGGCAACCUGCCCACCAGACGGGGAUAACGACCGGAAACGGUAGCUAAUACCGGAUAGAUCCUGUCGCCGCAUGGCGAGAGGAAGAAAGGCGGCUUGGGCUGUCGUUGGUGGAAGGGCCUGCGGCGCAUUAGCUAGUUGGUAGAGUAACGGCCUACCAAGGCGACGAUGCGUAGCCGACCUGAGAGGGUGAACGGCCACACUGGGACUGAGACACGGCCCAGACUCCUACGGGAGGCAGCAGUAGGGAAUCUUCCGCAAUGGGCGCAAGCCUGACGGAGCAACGCCGCGUGAGUGAAGAAGGUUUUCGGAUCGUAAAGCUCUGUUGCCAGGGAAGAACGACUUUUGGAGGAACUGCCAGAAGAGUGACGGUACCUGAGAAGAAAGCCCCGGCUAACUACGUGCCAGCAGCCGCGGUAAUACGUAGGGGGCAAGCGUUGUCCGGAAUUAUUGGGCGUAAAGCGCGCGCAGGCGGCCGUUUAAGUCCGGUGUAUAAGCCCGGGGCUCAACCCCGGAUCGCACGGGAAACUGGAGGGCUUGAGAACAGCAGAGGAGAGUGG
Molecule: ribosomal RNA, 575 nt
Filed under: uncultured bacterium
Lineage: Bacteria
Description: bacterial SSU rRNA
Rfam family: Bacterial small subunit ribosomal RNA
Source: RNAcentral